UACGUAGGGGGCUAGCGUUGUCCGGAAUCAUUGGGCGUAAAGCGCGCGUAGGCGGCCCGGUAAGUCCGCUGUGAAAGUCAAAGGCUCAACCUUUGAAUGUCAGCGGAUACUGCCGGGCUAGAGUCCGGAAGAGGCGAGUGGAAUUCCUGGUGUAGCGGUGGAAUGCGCAGAUAUCAGGAGGAACACCAACGGCGAAGGCAGCUCGCUGGGACGGUACUGACGCUGAGGCGCGAAGGCCAGGGGAGCAAACGGG
This 253-nucleotide ribosomal RNA is filed under the name uncultured bacterium. RNAcentral's name for it is "partial 16S ribosomal RNA". It matches the Rfam family "Bacterial small subunit ribosomal RNA", at positions 524 to 776 of the family's 1533-position model. The record is from RNAcentral.